AAUCUUCCACAAUCGGCGAAAGCCUGAUGGAGCAACGCCGCGUGAGUGACGAAGGUUUUCGGAUCGUAAAACUCUGUGGUUAGGGAAGAACAAGUAUAGUAGUAACUGGCUGUACAUUGACGGUACCUUAUUAGAAAGCAACGGCUAACUACGUUCCAGCAGCCGCGGUAAUACGUAGGUGGCAAGCGUUGUCCGGAAUUAUUGGGCGUAAAGCGCGCGCAGGCGGUCCUUUAAGUCUGAUGUGAAAGCCCACGGCUCAACCGUGGAGGGUCAUUGGAAACUGGGGGACUUGAGUGCAGAAGAGGAAAGUGGAAUUCCAAGUGUAGCGGUGAAAUGCGUAGAGAUUUGGAGGAACACCAGUGGCGAAGGCGACUUUCUGGUCUGUAACUGACGCUGAGACGCGAAAGCGUGGGGAGCAAACAGG
RNAcentral lists this ribosomal RNA (424 nucleotides) under uncultured bacterium. Its description in RNAcentral is "partial 16S ribosomal RNA". It matches the Rfam family "Bacterial small subunit ribosomal RNA", at positions 360 to 776 of the family's 1533-position model. The record is from RNAcentral.